This 68-nucleotide transfer RNA is filed under the name Macromia daimoji. RNAcentral's name for it is "tRNA-Gln". The record is from RNAcentral. Lineage: Eukaryota; Metazoa; Arthropoda; Insecta; Odonata; Macromiidae.
UAUAUAUUGGUGUAAGAGGCACAGGAAUUUUUGAUGUUCUAGGAGUAGUUUAAUUCUAUAAUAUAUAA